This 69-nucleotide transfer RNA is filed under the name Marmota monax (woodchuck). Its description in RNAcentral is "tRNA.Ala". Lineage: Eukaryota; Metazoa; Chordata; Mammalia; Rodentia; Sciuridae. The record is from RNAcentral.
GUUGUGGGUCAGUGGUAGAGCACUUGCAUAGCACACAUGAGGCCCUGGGUUCAAUACCCCGGCACAACA